GAUGAACGCUGGCGGCGUGCCUAAUACAUGCAAGUAGAACGCUGAAGCUUGGUGCUUGCACCGAGCGGAUGAGUUGCGAACGGGUGAGUAACGCGUAGGUAACCUGCCUCUUAGCGGGGGAUAACUAUUGGAAACGAUAGCUAAUACCGCAUAAAAGUCGAUAUCGCAUGAUAUUGAUGUGAAAGGUGCAAAUGCAUCACUAAGAGAUGGACCUGCGUUGUAUUAGCUAGUUGGUGAGGUAACGGCUCACCAAGGCGACGAUACAUAGCCGACCUGAGAGGGUGAUCGGCCACACUGGGACUGAGACACGGCCCAGACUCCUACGGGAGGCAGCAGUAGGGAAUCUUCGGCAAUGGGGGCAACCCUGACCGAGCAACGCCGCGUGAGUGAAGAAGGUUGUCGGAUCGUAAAGCUCUGUUGUAAGAGAAGAACGAGUGUGAGAGUGGAAAGUUCACACUGUGACGGUAACUUAACAGAAAGGGACGGCUAACUACGUG
This 497-nucleotide ribosomal RNA is filed under the name uncultured bacterium. RNAcentral describes it as "partial 16S ribosomal RNA". It matches the Rfam family "Bacterial small subunit ribosomal RNA", at positions 28 to 507 of the family's 1533-position model. The record is from RNAcentral.